RNAcentral lists this long non-coding RNA (643 nucleotides) under Manacus vitellinus (golden-collared manakin). RNAcentral's name for it is "lncRNA (ENSMVIG00005004365.1)". Lineage: Eukaryota; Metazoa; Chordata; Aves; Passeriformes; Pipridae. The record is from RNAcentral.
CACCUUCCUCUGCUUCGUGGCCUCGAAUGCCCACGAGGCCUACGCAGCGCUGGCCGGGCUGGAGAUGGGCAUCACCCUCCUGUUCCUCCUGCUCUACCUGCUCAAGCUCGACGCAAAGAUGCGGUGGCUGUUCUGGCCGCUGGCUGAUAUUUUCAACUCGGUGAUUGCAGCGUUGUUCCUCCUCGUUGUGUGCUUGUUUGCAGUAAUAGUCAAGAGCAACAAGGGGACAUUGGCUGGAGGAGUGUUGGGUCUUAUAUUGCUUGUUCUCUGCGUUGUCGACACGGUUCUUCUUUGCAAGAAGAUUAGCCUUGCUAGACCAAGAGGAAGGAAUGCUCCUACCAGAUAAGACUGCCGUGUUAGUAAAAGGAUUUCUCCAUUGAUGAUUGUUUCACCACUCUCUUUUAAAGAAUUUGUGUUUUCACAUGUUCACCUUAGAAUUUCCUGUGCAUUGAUGUAUGUUUUUGCAAGUAUUGUUUAUACGGUUUUCAGACAUUUCCAAAUGUAGUUUCAGUGGUGCAGUUAAAGCUUCAUAGAAAAUGGUCUUGUUUUUCUGAACUUAAUUACAUUUUUACUCAUAUGAAAAUGAACUUCAUGGUUGUCUUCUUUCUGUAAUAAAAAGAAAAUAUAAACGGGCUUAAGUGCA